AUAGGGGCAGCGAAGAGCCCUCUCGUUCUCUCCGCCCACGGUCGGCGUCUUCCCCAAUUCCCCAUCCAUGGGGCGGAAGCUCCUCCCGAUCUCGUCAAUCUCCCAUUGUUGGAGACCGCCAGGAUGCGACGAUGACGAAGAUGAUGAAGACGACGAGCCAGAACACGAUACUGCUCUCAAUCUCCCAAGGUUUUGGUUACAACAUGAUGGCACUAUUUGUUCUGAAGAUUUUACUUGGAAUGGGUGGUUUAGGAAAUAUAAAAGAGAGGCUGCACUUGAGCUCUUGGUUCUGAUUUCCAGAAAUAUAACGAGAAUGAGGUGGUUGGACUUCAAUCUCAAGGUGCUAGAUGCCUCUAAUGCUCCUGUUUAUGUGUCAAAUCUGCAUGGGCUCUUCAUUGUCAAGUCAUUAUCCCUCAGCAUGGUUAAGAAUUACCUUUGUUUAAAGACUGAUUUAUUCGGAGUGACAUGAGGGUUCAACUCCAUUACAGUGCUGGAAUCCAUGUUGUAUAUUCAAGGAGUUUAAUUUUUUAGCUUCCCUCAUGGCACAACCUUCUUCCUGCGGAGUCCUCUUUCUCCUCAGUUUACAAAGACAAAAUGUAUGACUGGUGCCAACAGUUCAUCACGGAAGAAAGGACUCACCGAGCUAGGAUUACUAACUAAUACUUUACUAAUAGAAUAGAAUAGAAAAGAAUUGUCUUUCUAUAUACUUUUCCUGGUUCCAUUGCUACUGCAGGAGCAAUCGAUCAGAUCAUAUGGAUAUCCCUUUAACACAAUGCAGAUCAUUGAAAGGAUCUGGGACGACUCAUUAAAGCACGAAAGGGAAAUCAGAGGAGGGGAAGGUACUAAAAUAUGGUCAGCUAAAUAAGGUCUAAUAUCAGGCGGAAGUGGCGAAAAGAACAUAUAUCUGGUGCUGUUAAAAUUCCUAAUGUCCUAGACAUGUACUUGUUUGGAUAGUCAUACAGUUUCAGUUCUGCUGAUUUAUAAUGAAUGUUAUGCGGUCUACGGAGUGAAAGAAAAAAGGAAGAACCUACCGGUGAUGAUCCACAAAUUCACCUGGGAAUAACCUGCCGGUGCUUUUGACUGCUGAUGAUGACCCACAUAUAUUUUACUUCGUUUUCCCCUUUUAUUUUUUCCUGAUAUUAUGAUCUUGGUACAUAUAACAGGGAGUUCUGUAUGCCUGAAAGGAAUGGUAUCAGAUCUUAAUAAAGUAAUUUCUAUGCCAGUUCUUAGUA
Phoenix dactylifera (date palm) is the source of this 1232-nucleotide RNA transcript. It is a transcript of the gene named putative protein FAR1-RELATED SEQUENCE 10, with no coding region annotated. Lineage: Eukaryota; Viridiplantae; Streptophyta; Magnoliopsida; Arecales; Arecaceae. The record is from RefSeq and is a predicted model, not a curated record.